RNAcentral lists this ribosomal RNA (478 nucleotides) under uncultured bacterium. Its description in RNAcentral is "partial 16S ribosomal RNA". It matches the Rfam family "Bacterial small subunit ribosomal RNA", at positions 28 to 523 of the family's 1533-position model. The record is from RNAcentral.
GACGAACGCUGGCGGCGUGCUUAACACAUGCAAGUCGAGCGAUGAAGUUCCUUCGGGAAUGGAUUAGCGGCGGACGGGUGAGUAACACGUGGGUAACCUGCCUCAUAGAGGGGAAUAGCCUUCCGAAAGGAAGAUUAAUACCGCAUAAGAUCGUAGUUUCGCAUGAAACAGCAAUUAAAGGAGUAAUCCGCUAUGAGAUGGACCCGCGUCGCAUUAGCCAGUUGGUGAGGUAACGGCUCACAAAGGCGACGAUGCGUAGCCGACCUGAGAGGGGGAUCGGCCACAUUGGGACUGACACACGGCCCAGACGCCUACGGGAGGAAGCAGUGUGGAAUAUUGCCCAAUGGAGGAAACCCUGAUGCAGCAACGCCGCGUGGGUGAUGACGGUCUUCGGAUUGUAAAACUCUGUCUUCAGGGAGGAUAAUGACGGUACCUGAGGAGGAAGCCACGGCUAACUACGUGCCAGCCGCCGCCGUAA